Arachis stenosperma is the source of this 1515-nucleotide long non-coding RNA. RefSeq lists it as uncharacterized. The record is from RefSeq and is a predicted model, not a curated record. The transcript is spliced from 4 exons. Lineage: Eukaryota; Viridiplantae; Streptophyta; Magnoliopsida; Fabales; Fabaceae.
AUGACAACAAUAUUGAAUUCAUUAGUAAUUUGGUAAUUUAAAGUGUGAAUGUUGCUUUUUGUUUGUUAAAAUUCUUUCUUUUGGAACAACAAAUAUCGAAUUCUAGACUUUUUUCGUCAUGGAAUGAAAUUCCUUAGUACCUAACAAUUAUUAUUUGAAGGUAUUUGAAGAGAAAGCUUAUUUGGUAGGGUAGAAAGGAAGGGAGAUAAUGAGGAUGUGUUUGGGAUAGAAGAAUCCCUGAGGGAAUUAGAACAGCUAGCUGACACUGCUGGCUUAAUGGUUGUUGUCUCUACCUACCAGAAGAUGAGUGGCGAAGAGGCCUCAAGUGUUUAGGAGCUGACACACGCCCAAAAUUAAAAAAAAAAACCAGUUAAAGGACUGGAUAAAGAGGUGCCAGCAUGCUUUGAAGACUUCUAUUCCUACGCCUUUCAAUACUGAUUAAAAGGUAAAAAGAAAUAGAACAAGAGCAAGGAAGAAGAGGAGGAAAAGCCAACGUUGGAACCAACGUUGGCCCAUCAACGUUGGAACCAACGUUGGCCCAUCAACGUUGGAACCAACGUUGGCCCAUCAACGUUGCAGGCAACGCUCUGGAAGAGGAAAACAUGGGUGCCAACAUUGGAGGGAACAUUGGUGUAUCAAUGUUACCUCCAACGUCCUAAAAAAUGUUCAAUUAUGGAGCUAAAAGAUUUUUGGGCGACGCGUACGCGUCAAUGACGCAUACGCGUGAAAAAGGCAAAAUUUUCAAUCCACGCACAAGCGUGAGCUACGCGCACGUGUGAAAUGGUGAAAUUUACCAUCCACGAGCAUGCGUGGGUCACGCGUACGUGUGACCAAGCCAACGUUGGAUGGAACAUUGUUGACCAAACGCUGCCUUCAACGUCCACAAUGAGAAGCCCAUAAUUUGGAAUUGAGAAACAUGAAUCGACGCGCACGCGUCUAUGACACGUACGCGUGGAAUGGAAAAUGGAAAUGCACGCAUAAGUGUGGUGUGUGCGCACGCGUGGAAGGGCAAAAACACAGCCUUCACACGUACGCGUGGUGUACGCGUACGCAUGGAUGAGCGAACGUUGAUGCACCAACGUUGAGCCAAAUGCUGCUAGUAGAAACAAGAACUCAUUUUUUUUGCAACGUUUGGACCCAACGUUUGCACACAAACGUUGCGACCAAUGUUAAUGCCAAUUUAAGCUACAAAAUGGCACCAUGUAAGUUCAUAAACGUUUAGCUUCAACGUCUGUUAGAGCCAUUCCUCUCUGCUUCAAUCAAAGGCCAAGGCCCACAUCCAAGUACACUGAGUGUAGACCCAUUUUGGGAUAAAAGGAAGAGUAUAAAUAGAAGACUCUGAGAAGGCUUAGAGGUGUUUUGGGGGGGGGGGGCUCAGAAGGCCAAGAAGGCAACAGUAGAAGUAGGAGUAGCUGUAGGAUAGAACUCUCUGGUAGAGAGCUUAGCGUAGAAUUUCUUUUCCUUUCUGCACUUUUAAAUUUCAGUUGUAAUUGAAUUCAGUUUGGUUUAUGUAAU